AACUACCAUGUAGUGUGAUGCCAUCUGGGUUACCAUUCUAAAUGGAUGGUCAUAGGUUCGAACCCCGGUGGUGGGGGCUUAGAUUCUUUGGGCUGAAAAUGUUUGAGAAAGUAUAAAACAGAUACUACCUUGUAAAGAAUCAAGUAUUUCAAAA
Molecule: long non-coding RNA, 154 nt
Organism: Ipomoea nil (Japanese morning glory)
Lineage: Eukaryota; Viridiplantae; Streptophyta; Magnoliopsida; Solanales; Convolvulaceae
Exons: 2
Source: RefSeq, a predicted model, not a curated record